This 628-nucleotide long non-coding RNA is filed under the name Laticauda laticaudata (blue-ringed sea krait). RNAcentral's name for it is "lncRNA (ENSLLTG00000011223.1)". Lineage: Eukaryota; Metazoa; Chordata; Lepidosauria; Squamata; Elapidae. The record is from RNAcentral.
CAUUUGUAUAGAGUUAUUUUCAGUUUGUUUUAUGUUGUCCAUCUUCCCAAGCUACAAAAUUCAAGAGCUAUAGUUUGUGUAGUAAUCACUGCUGUAAAAACACUGAAGACUGUUCGAUAGGAAGAAGAGAAACCAACUUCAUGUCAAAAUGCAGGUGAUGCAAGCGCCCAUACCAAAGAGCUCCACAAUCAAAUCUGAACUAGCAUUAUCCGAAUAGUCAGGAUCUAGAACUUCAUUUGAAAUUGGAGUGCCCGUCUGGAGAUUGAAUGGAACAGCUGCUGAGGAACAGUUUAUCUCUUUGUGUUGUCAAAGGAAUACUUUCUUCAUUAUGCCUUGCUACAGAUUAAAAUUACUGAAUGAUCUGGCUUGUCUUCAAGAGAAAAAACAAAACAAAACACUGGAUCAUGAUUACCGAAUUCUGGAAUUUUCUGCAAUUAGAUUUAGAUAGUAAUGAAUUACCACUAUUUUAUGGAGGCAAACAGCUGCAAUGAUCUUAAUCCUGAGUGAUACAUUUAAAAGUUCUGACAUGAAGGAAAGCCGUCCUGGGGGGCACUUACAUCAUCUAGAAGAAUGCGGAGAACCUUUAUUUCUUUUGUUUAGCAACAUUUUUAGUUCCAAGAGGUACUGA